RNAcentral lists this ribosomal RNA (666 nucleotides) under Triticum aestivum (bread wheat). Its description in RNAcentral is "partial small subunit ribosomal RNA". Lineage: Eukaryota; Viridiplantae; Streptophyta; Magnoliopsida; Poales; Poaceae. The record is from RNAcentral.
AUGGCAGAGGAACCGUCCGCCAAGCGUCAUCAUGGCGAGCCGUCGGACAAGAGCAGGAACCUCAUCGACGUUCACGUCCCCGGUGAGAAGCGCGAGUACACGAGAACCCUCACAGGGGUUGAGCUCCACGGCAAAGAGACGCUGGAGAUCCUCUGCACCAGCGAACCAGACAAGGCCGACAAGGUGAUGAGCAGGCUCAGGAUGAAGGGCGGCGGCUUGUAUCCGAGCUUCAUCGGAGUUGAUGUGGAUCCCAAGCGCCUCAAAGACAUCCUGCAGGAGGAGAAAUUGUACACAUUUGUCAGUUUUAGCAUUGGAGGUGACAAGCGGAUGUUGAACAAGUCUGGUUUGGAGAUCAACCCCAACAACUUCAUUGACAUGCAGCGCAAGUGCAAAGAUCCAAAGACCAGCAAAUACUACGACUCCUUGGCCAAUGUUGCAGGCGGCGUAAUCCACCCAUUCUACAGCGGCAUGAAGAAGAAGAUGGACAAGGGAGAACACAAACUGUGGGGGACCAGCCCGCUGCCAGACAACCUCAUCACGUACGCAGGAAUAGAUGCGUACGCCAUGUACAAGUCAUGGAAGACAAUCGACAACAUCGUGAAAGGUUGGUAUAUUUCAAAAGAGCAGGAGGCUGACCCCUACUACCACUGCAACUUCGCGGGAUGA